UCCCUGGUGUUCCAGUGGUUAGGACUCAGCACUUUCACCGCUGAGGCCUGGGUUUGAUCCCUGAUCAGGGAA
Molecule: transfer RNA, 72 nt
Filed under: Bos taurus (domestic cattle)
Lineage: Eukaryota; Metazoa; Chordata; Mammalia; Artiodactyla; Bovidae
Also listed under: 4 other names
Rfam family: tRNA
About the family: Transfer RNA (tRNA) molecules are approximately 80 nucleotides in length.
Source: Rfam by way of RNAcentral